RNAcentral lists this long non-coding RNA (276 nucleotides) under Homo sapiens (human). RNAcentral describes it as "LHRI_LNC323.2". Lineage: Eukaryota; Metazoa; Chordata; Mammalia; Primates; Hominidae. The record is from RNAcentral.
CAGCCUCCGGGUGGACCUGCAGGGGCCUGUUUGUGCUGUAGGCUUGACACGUCCAGAUGGAGUCUCACUCACUCUGUCACCCAAGCUGGAGCGCAGUGGUGUGAUCUUCAGCUCGUCCCAACCUCCGUCUCCCAGGUUCAAGCGAUUCUCCUGACCUCAAGUGAUCCGUCUGCCUUGGCAUCCCAAAGUGCUGGGAUUACAGGCCUGAGGCCAGGCCCUGAAUUAAUUUUUUGAUGUUUCACUUUGCCAGGUGUAUAAGUAACAUGUUAGUUGUGA